UACGGGGGGGGCAAGCGUUGUUCGGAAUUACUGGGCGUAAAGGGCUCGUAGGUGGCCCCAUAAGUCAGACGUGAAAUCCCUCGGCUCAACCGAGGAACUGCGUCUGAGACUGCGGGGCUUGAAUCCGGGAGAGGGAUGCGGAAUUCCAGGUGUAGCGGUGAAAUGCGUAGAUAUCUGGAGGAACACCGGUGGCGAAGGCGGCAUCCUGGACCGGUAUUGACACUGAGGCGCGAAAGCGUGGGGAGCAAACAGG
This 253-nucleotide ribosomal RNA is filed under the name uncultured bacterium. Its description in RNAcentral is "partial 16S ribosomal RNA". It matches the Rfam family "Bacterial small subunit ribosomal RNA", at positions 524 to 776 of the family's 1533-position model. The record is from RNAcentral.